RNAcentral lists this ribosomal RNA (119 nucleotides) under Triticum aestivum (bread wheat). The record is from RNAcentral. Lineage: Eukaryota; Viridiplantae; Streptophyta; Magnoliopsida; Poales; Poaceae.
GGAUGCGAUCAUACCAGCACUAAAGCACCGGAUCCCAUCAGAACUCCGAAGUUAAGCGUGCUUGGGCGAUAGUAGUAGUAGGAUGGGUGACCUCCUGGGAAGUCCUCGUGUUGUAUUCC